GCGGUGUUAGUCCAGCAUGGUUAAGAUACUGCCCUGCCACGGCAGAGACCCGGGUUCAAUUCCCGGACGCCGCA
Molecule: transfer RNA, 74 nt
Filed under: Candidatus Methanovirga basalitermitum
Lineage: Archaea; Methanobacteriati; Methanobacteriota; Methanobacteria; Methanobacteriales; Methanobacteriaceae
Description: tRNA-Gly
Rfam family: tRNA
About the family: Transfer RNA (tRNA) molecules are approximately 80 nucleotides in length. Their secondary structure includes four short double-helical elements and three loops (D, anti-codon, and T loops). Further hydrogen bonds mediate the characteristic L-shaped molecular structure. tRNAs have two regions of fundamental functional importance: the anti-codon, which is responsible for specific mRNA codon recognition, and the 3' end, to which the tRNAs corresponding amino acid is attached (by aminoacyl-tRNA synthetases). tRNAs cope with the degeneracy of the genetic code in two manners: having more than one tRNA (with a specific anti-codon) for a particular amino acid; and 'wobble' base-pairing, i.e. permitting non-standard base-pairing at the 3rd anti-codon position.
Source: RNAcentral